Molecule: ribosomal RNA, 1159 nt
Filed under: Leuconostoc mesenteroides subsp. mesenteroides
Lineage: Bacteria; Bacillati; Bacillota; Bacilli; Lactobacillales; Lactobacillaceae
Description: bacterial SSU rRNA
Rfam family: Bacterial small subunit ribosomal RNA
Source: RNAcentral
AGUGUCGCAUGACACAAAGUUAAAAGGCGCUUCGGCGUCACCUAGAGAUGGAUCCGCGGUGCAUUAGUUAGUUGGUGGGGUAAAGGCCUACCAAGACAAUGAUGCAUAGCCGAGUUGAGAGACUGAUCGGCCACAUUGGGACUGAGACACGGCCCAAACUCCUACGGGAGGCUGCAGUAGGGAAUCUUCCACAAUGGGCGAAAGCCUGAUGGAGCAACGCCGCGUGUGUGAUGAAGGCUUUCGGGUCGUAAAGCACUGUUGUAUGGGAAGAACAGCUAGAAUAGGAAAUGAUUUUAGUUUGACGGUACCAUAGAGAAAGGGACGGCUAAAUACGUGCCAGCAGCCGCGGUAAUACGUAUGUCCCGAGCGUUUACCGGAUUUAUUGGGCGUAAAGCGAGCGCAGACGGUUUAUUAAGUCUGAUGUGAAAGCCCGGAGCUCAACUCCGGAAUGGCAUUGGAACUGGUUAACUUGAGUGCAGUAGACCUAAGUGGAACUCCAUGUGUAGCGGUGGAAUCGGUAGAUAUAUGGAAGAACACCAGUGGCGAAGGCGGCUUACUGGACUGCAACUGACGUUGAGGCUCGAAAGUGUGGGUAGCAAACAGGAUUAGAUACCCUGGUAGUCCACACCGUAAACGAUGAACACUAGGUGUUAGGAGGUUUCCGCCUCUUAGUGCCGAAGCUAACGCAUUAAGUGUUCCGCCUGGGGAGUACGACCGCAAGGUUGAAACUCAAAGGAAUUGACGGGGACCCGCACAAGCGGUGGAGCAUGUGGUUUAAUUCGAAGCAACGCGAAGAACCUUACCAGGUCUUGACAUCCUUUUGAAGCUUUUAGAGAUAGAAGUGUUCUCUUCGGAGACAAAGUGACAGGUGGUGCAUGGUCGUCGUCAGCUCGUGUCGUGAGAUGUUGGGUUAAGUCCCGCAACGAGCGCAACCCUUAUUGUUAGUUGCCAGCAUUCAGAUGGGCACUCUAGCGAGACUGCCGGUGACAAACCGGAGGAAGGCGGGGACGACGUCAGAUCAUCAUGCCCCUUAUGACCUGGGCUACACACGUGCUACAAUGGCGUAUACAACGAGUUGCCAACCCGCGAGGGUGAGCUAAUCUCUUAAAGUACGUCUCAGUUCGGAUUGUAGUCUGCAACUCGACUACAUGAAGUCCCG